This 255-nucleotide ribosomal RNA is filed under the name uncultured bacterium. RNAcentral describes it as "partial 16S ribosomal RNA". It matches the Rfam family "Bacterial small subunit ribosomal RNA", at positions 524 to 777 of the family's 1533-position model. The record is from RNAcentral.
UACGUAGGGUGCAAGCGUUAAUCGGAAUUACUGGGCGUAAAGCGCGCGUAGGCGGCUUUGCAAGUCGGGUGUGAAAUCCCCAGGCUUAACCUGGGAACUGCAUUCGAGACUGCAUUGCUAGAGUAUGGGAGAGGGAAGUGGAAUUUCCGGUGUAGCGGUGAAAUGCGUAGAUAUCGGAAGGAACAUCAGUGGCGAAAGCGACUUCCUGGACCAAUACUGACGCUCAUGUGCGAAAAGCGUGGGGAGCAAACAGGG